This 301-nucleotide ribosomal RNA is filed under the name uncultured bacterium. RNAcentral describes it as "partial 16S ribosomal RNA". It matches the Rfam family "Bacterial small subunit ribosomal RNA", at positions 509 to 807 of the family's 1533-position model. The record is from RNAcentral.
CAGUAGCCACGGUAAUACGUAGGGGGCAAGCGUUGUCCGGAAUCAUUGGGCGUAAAGCGCGUGUAGGCGGCUCGAUAAGUCUGCUGUGAAAGUCCAGGGCUCAACCCUGGAAUGCUGGUGGAAACUGUCGAGCUCGAGUCCGGAAGAGGCAAGUGGAAUUCCUGGUGUAGCGGUGAAAUGCGCAGAUAUCAGGAGGAACACCAAUGGCGAAGGCAGCUUGCUGGGACGGUACUGACGCUGAGACGCGAAAGCGUGGGGAGCAAACAGGAUUAGAGACCCCUGUAGUCCCUGUCUCUUAUAC